AGUACACCUGGACGCCCAAAACCAAGGCCGUUUGUCCCCUGAAGGCGGCCAUCGAGCAGCUCAACACGCAGGAGGUGGAGGUGCGGAUGCGACUGGCCGAGCUCCAGCGCCGCUACAAGGAGAAGCAGCGGGAGCUGGUGAAGCUGCAGCGGCGGCAUGACCACGAGCGUGACGAGAGCUCCCGGAGCCCGGCGCGGCGCGGCCCGGGGCGGCCGAGGAAGCGCAAGCACUCCAGCACGCUGGGCAGGGCCGAGAGCCGCAAGGUCAAGUGAGUGACCGACGCCGCGUGCCCUCCUUGUCCCCGGGGACGGGCCACUAGCCCUGCUGCCGGGGGCCGGGGGGGUCUGGCCAUCCCACCGCGGGGGUGGCAUUUCCCUGGGACCCCUCGCCGCAUCCCUCCCACCAGCAGCAGCCGCCACGUUUCAGGGGGUCCGGCGCGCUCCCCGCUCUCCUUGCUUGGAGGGGGAGAGGGUGGGGGGGUCUCGGCUGGGCGGCAGCACCGUGUGUCCCCCCCCCUCCCCUCCCCGCCGGCCGCGGGAGCAGCGUUGCAUAAAAGCCUCUUUAUCUGCGCCGUAUAAAGCCAUUGGUCACGCUGCAGCGGCGUUCAUCGCUGCCGGCGCUUUAUUAUUACCCAUUAGCCGCCCGGCGCAGCCGUUUCCCCACUCCCGGGCCCUGUAUAAUUGUCCUUCUCUGCUACAAAUUGCCUCUCCCGACAGGCCCAUUUGCAUAAAUCCUCCGAGCGAGUCCAAACACGCUUGGAGCGCGUGUGCGCGCGCGGCCCCCGGCCCCCCCGCUCGGUAAUAACAGUUAAAUCUGCGCUAAAUGGUUCCUUCAAUUAAGACGGAGGGGAAGGGGAAGAAGAAAAAAAAAAAAAAAAAAUUAAUCUCUAGGUUUUAUGUCACAAAACAUUAGUGAGCGAGUGAAG
Calidris pugnax (ruff) is the source of this 925-nucleotide long non-coding RNA. RefSeq lists it as uncharacterized. The record is from RefSeq and is a predicted model, not a curated record. Lineage: Eukaryota; Metazoa; Chordata; Aves; Charadriiformes; Scolopacidae. The transcript is spliced from 3 exons.